GUCCGGAUCCGCGCCCGGCCCGGUUCUCCGCGCCGCGUCUCCCGGACGGGUAAACUGAGGCCUGGAGAGGGCUCGGGCCUGGAGAGGGCUCGGAGCUCGGGUUCGAGUCCCGCCGCCGGUCACCCACUCCGAGGCGGCGCGGGGGCCCGUGGGCGAGACGGCGGAGCCAAGAGCGGUCAGGUCUCGGCCCCACAGCCCAGCUGACGCAGAGCGGGCGCUCUGGGGCUCGAGUCCCCGCCCCUUUGCUGACCAGCUGUGUGAUGGAUGACCUUGAGCAAGUGACUUCGCUCCUCUCCUUGAGGGCCCUCAUCUCUCACGUGAUAGUACUUGAUCCAAGGGGCUGCUGUGAGGUUAAGUUAAUGUUUGUAAAGCCCAUGGGACCGUGCAGGGACCUGAGAGUGAAAUGGUUAGAAGGUCUCUCAGACCUCUAACAUGCCCCAAAUCUGUCUGCCAGCUUUACAAGGAAGAUCCUUCAUGAGGUUCAUCUGAGUUCCUGUGGUGGAGAGACCGACCCAUCUUGCUGGUGUCUCUCUCUAAGUCCCUGGUUGGCCCUGAAGAAGCAGGCUGCCAUCUUAUGGGAUGCCGACGUUGGGAGGCGCCCGUGGCAAGGAACUACAGGCGACUCUAGCUGCUGAGGGCAGCCUCUGACCAACAGCCGACAGGAAAGUGAAGGUCUCAGUUGUACAGCUGCAAGGAACUGAAGCCUGUUAAUGACCUGAGUGAGGAGACAGACGCUUCCCUAAUUGGGCCUCUGAUGAUACUGCAGCCCUGGCUGACUCCUCGGCUGCAGAUUUGUGAGACUCUAGGUGGACGGCUCAACUAAGCUACACUGGAUUCCUGAAUCUGUGAGCUCAUCAAGAUGUGUUUUGUUUUUUUUUUAAAAGAUUUUAUUUAUUUAUUUGAGAGAGAGAGAAUGAGAGAGAGCACAUGAG
Leptonychotes weddellii (Weddell seal) is the source of this 932-nucleotide long non-coding RNA. RefSeq lists it as uncharacterized. The record is from RefSeq and is a predicted model, not a curated record. Lineage: Eukaryota; Metazoa; Chordata; Mammalia; Carnivora; Phocidae.